UGGGGAAUAUUGGACAAUGGGCGAAAGCCUGAUCCAGCCAUGCCGCGUGUGUGAAGAAGGUCUUCGGAUUGUAAAGCACUUUAAGUUGGGAGGAAGGGCAGUAAGCGAAUACCUUGCUGUUUUGACGUUACCGACAGAAUAAGCACCGGCUAACUCUGUGCCAGCAGCCGCGGUAAUACAGAGGGUGCAAGCGUUAAUCGGAAUUACUGGGCGUAAAGCGCGCGUAGGUGGUUCGUUAAGUUCAAUGUGAAAGCCCCGGGCUCAACCUGGGAACUGCAUCCAAAACUGGCGAGCUAGAGUAGGGCAGAGGGUGGUGGAAUUUCCUGUGUAGCGGUGAAAUGCGUAGAUAUAGGAAGGAACACCAGUGGCGAAGGCGACCACCUGGGCUCAUACUGACACUGAGGUGCGAAAGCGUGGGGAGCAAACAGG
This 429-nucleotide ribosomal RNA is filed under the name Pseudomonadota bacterium. RNAcentral's name for it is "Proteobacteria bacterium partial 16S ribosomal RNA". It matches the Rfam family "Bacterial small subunit ribosomal RNA", at positions 355 to 776 of the family's 1533-position model. Lineage: Bacteria; Pseudomonadati; Pseudomonadota. The record is from RNAcentral.